UGGGGAAUCUUGCACAAUGGGCGAAAGCCUGAUGCAGCAACGCCGCGUGAGCGAAGAAGGCCUUUGGGUCGUAAAGCUCUGUCCUAAGGGAAGAAGGAAGUGACGGUACCUUAGGAGGAAGCCCCGGCUAACUACGUGCCAGCAGCCGCGGUAAUACGUAGGGGGCAAGCGUUAUCCGGAAUUAUUGGGCGUAAAGAGUACGUAGGCGGUUCUUUAAGCGCAGGGUUUAAGGCGAUAGCUUAACUAUCGUUCGCCCUGUGAACUGGGGGACUUGAGUAUCGGAGAGGAAAGCGGAAUUCCUAGUGUAGCGGUGAAAUGCGUAGAUAUUAGGAGGAACACCAGUGGCGAAGGCGGCUUUCUGGACGAAAACUGACGCUGAGGUACGAAAGCGUGGGGAGCAAACAGG
Molecule: ribosomal RNA, 406 nt
Filed under: uncultured bacterium
Lineage: Bacteria
Description: bacterial SSU rRNA
Rfam family: Bacterial small subunit ribosomal RNA
Source: RNAcentral